RNAcentral lists this ribosomal RNA (234 nucleotides) under uncultured bacterium. RNAcentral's name for it is "partial 16S ribosomal RNA". It matches the Rfam family "Bacterial small subunit ribosomal RNA", at positions 118 to 347 of the family's 1533-position model. The record is from RNAcentral.
UGAGGAACAUGACCUUCGGCGGGGGAUAGCCGGCCCAACGGCCGGGUAAUACCGCGUACGACCACAUGGGGACAUCCCUGAGUGGUGAAAGCAGCAAUGCGCCGAUGGAGUGCCUCGCGGCCUAUCAGCUAGUUGGUGAGGUAACGCUCACCAAGGCGACGACGGGUAGCUGGUCUGAGAGGAUGGCCAGCUACAGUUGGGACUGAGACACGGCCCAGACCUGUACCGGGGAGG